This is a long non-coding RNA of Anolis carolinensis (green anole), 3331 nucleotides long. The record is from Ensembl. NCBI's taxonomy places the organism in Eukaryota, Metazoa, Chordata, Lepidosauria, Squamata, Anolidae.
AAUUGAUCCCUGUGGAUAACUUUUCCGGCGUGGAAGGGAGCAAGGAAAUUGGCGGAAUUGUUUCUAGGCGAGCCUGGAUGUUCUCGACAAAGGACUCAAUGGAAAGCCUUGCUCGGAGAGUGCGCAUAGUUGCUGGCAAAUGGGAGGCCUGGGGUGGAAGAGAAGGGAAAGAUGACAAAGAUGGGAGCUCCAUUGCCUGCCAGCCUGUUGGACUGGAAAACGGAGCCAACCCGCCGGCCGAAUGGUUCCCGCGCAGCCAAGGCCCAGGGCUGCGCCAGCCCAACAGUGAGGUGGAUGAUGGUAGUGAGAGGAACUUCAGGGUGAACCUUCACUGCAAACACGGGCGGCCCAGGUAAGGACGGAGGGAGGGGCAGGAAGUGGAAGAGGGCACGGGCCGAUAGGGAUGUCCAUCUUCCCCAUCUUGUGCCUGCAUUUAUUUAUUAUUUAUUUACAGUAUUUAUAUUCCGCCCUUCCUUCUCACCCCGAAGGGGACUCACAAUGCGCAUACAUAUACACGGCAAACAUUCAAUGCCGUUUUUAGGCAUACAACACAUACACAAACAGUAGAAGUAAUUCAACAUUUUCCAACUUUGGCGUCGGGAGGUUAUGCUUGAUUCCGGCCACAGGGGGAGCUCUCGCUUUGUCCACUAUAAGUCCUUUUUUGAUCGUAGUAUUUCCUCCUUGCUCUUUGAUCGCCGGCAUUUUUAUGGUCUUGCAAAGUAAAUUAACCUCCCUAAUUUCUCUACUCACCGCUUUUUUCAAACUGCUUAGGUGGACAGUAAGCUAGGCUAAUGGCAGCCGGGUGCUCAAUCCGACUCAGACUUCGAACUUGUAUUUCCUCCUUGCUCUUUGAUUGCCAGCAUUUUUAUGGUGUCGUAAAUUAAAUUAACCUCCCUAAUUUCUCUACUCACCGCUUUUUUCGAACUGCUUAGGUGGACAGUAAGCUAGGCUUUUGGCAGCUGGGUGCUCAAUCCGACUCAGGCUUCGAACUUGUAUUUCCUCCAUGCUCUUUAAUUGACGGCAUUUUUAGGGUGUCGUAAAUUAAAUUAACCUCCCUGCUUAAUUUCUCUACUCACCGCUUUUUUCGAACUGCUUAGGUGGACAGUAAGCUAGGCUAAUGGAAGCCGGGUGCUCAAUCCGACUCAGGCAUCGAACUUGUAUUUCCUCCUUGCUCUUUGAUCGCCGGCAUUUUUAUGGUGUCGUAAAUUAAAUUAACCUCCCUAAUUUCUCUACUCACCUCUUUUUUCGAACUGCUUAGGCGGACAGUAAGCUAGGCUAAUGGCAGCCGGGUGCUCAAUCCGACUCAGGCUUCGAACUUGUAUUUCCUCCAUGCUCUUUAAUUGACGGCAUUUUUAGGGUGUCGUAAAUUAAAUUAACCUCCCUGCUUAAUUUCUCUACUCACCGCUUUUUUCGAACUGCUUAGGUGGACAGUAAGCUAGGCUAAUGGAAGCCGGGUGCUCACUCCGGCUCAGGCUUCGAACAUGCUCCCUGGAUUCUUGUGGGUACUACUUGGCUGAUUUUCGUCUGACUUGCAGCUAACUUUCUAGGAAGGCAAGCAAAGGGUGCAGAACCGGAGGCUUGCUUUGCGAUUGUUAUGGAAGGCAGCAGUGGUUCCAUCCUUUCGCUUGACAGAAAGGAGGGAAUGCGGAAAGGGGAGAGAAGAGAGAAAGGCCUGCUCUCCCCCCCCCCCUCCCUCCUUCUCUUUCCUUCCUUCCCUGCUGCUCCCGAGGGUUCUCCGGAUCCCUGCUGUGCGCUGAGUCUUCCCUGACCCUUCUCACUCCACAUCUGGCCAAGAAUUGCCUGGAAACUGCAGCCGGGGAGGAGGAGGGACAGGCCUUCUCACAGGAACGGGUCCAGGCCGGGAGGGCAAGGAAGGAGAGCCAGCUCUGCCGCAGACACUGGAUCCGAUCCUCCCCAGCCUUGAUGGACCGUCUCAGGAAGUCUGGGAGCCGACCAGGGAUGGGGAGGGGGAGGAAAGGAACAGCCAGGGAAGGAACAUCUCAAAACGAAUCAGGAGCAUUGUGUUGUCGAAGGCUUUCAUGGCCAGAAUCACUAGGGUUUUGUGCAUUUUCCGGCUGUAUGGCCAUGUUCUGGAAGCAUUCUCUCCUGACAUUUCACCCACAUCUAUGGCAGGCAUCCUCAGGGUGUGAGGUCUGAUGGAAACUUGGCCAGCGUAUGUGUGUGUGUGUGUGUGUGUGUAUGUAUAUAUAUGUGUGUGUGUGUGUGUGUGUGUAUGUGUGUGUGUGUAUAUAUAUAUAUAUAAAGGUUCCCCCUGACGUUAAGUCCAGUCGUGUCUGACUCUGGGGGUUGGUGCUCAUCUCCAUUUCUAAGCCGAAGAGCCAGCGUUGUCCAUAGACACCUCCAAGGUCAUAUGGCCACUGGCAUGACUGCAUGGAGCGCUGUUACCUUCCCGCCGGAGCGGUACCUAUUGAUCUACUCACAUUUGUAUGUUUUCGAACUGCUAGUUUGGCAGGAGCUGGAGCUAACAGCGGACGCUCAAGCCGCUCCCGGGAUUUGAACCUGGGACCUUUCGGUCUGCAAGUUCAGCAGCUUAGUGCUUUAAUGCACUUCGCCACCGGGGCUCCUAUGCGCAUAUGUGUGUGUAUGUGUGUAUAUAUAUCUAUAUAUAUAAAAGAGUGAUGGCAUCACGGCGACCCACAAAACAACAAAACUACAGGCCCCCCAACCUUGAAAUUUGACAACACAACGCAUCAUCCACGCCUCUAGGUUGAUACAACAAAAAGAAAAGAAAAAUAAAGUCUUAUUUUGAGAGAGAGGAAUAAUUGCUUUUAUCCAAUUGCUGCCAGUUAGAAGGCUAAGCUCCUCCAACUUGGUCUCCUAGGAACCCAAUAAAAAAUAAUAAAAACACUAAAAUUUAUACAUAAAAUACUAUAUUAACAGAAAAUAACUAAAAAUAAUACAAGAAAAUAAUAAAAUAUAAUAAAUAAAAAUAUAAAUUACAAUAAAAUUAAUAAAAAAUUGCAAAUAAUGUCAAAUAAAAAUUACACAACAAUUUUUAACCAAUACCACCACCACUUUGCCACAGCAACGUGUGGCCGGGCACAGCUAGUGUAAUAUAAUCUAUAUAUAAAAAAGGGUAAUGGAAUCACGGCACCGGACAAAACAACUAAACUAAAUGCCCCACAACCUCGAAAAUUGACAGCACAACCUCUCAUCCACGCCUCUACGUUCAUACAACAAAAAGAAAAGAAAAAUAAAGUCCUAGCCACAGCAACGCGUGGCCGGGCACAGCUAGGUACAGUAGAAUCUCACUUAUCCAACAUUCGCUUAUCUAACAUUCUGGAUUAUCCAACGCAUUUUUGUAGUCAAU